UGGGGAAUUUUGGACAAUGGGGGCAACCCUGAUCCAGCAAUGCCGCGUGUGUGAAGAAGGCCUUCGGGUUGUAAAGCACUUUUGUCCGGAAAGAAAUCCUCUGGGUUAAUACCCCGGGGGGAUGACGGUACGGGAAGAAUAAGCACCGGCUAACUACGUGCCAGCAGCCGCGGUAAUACGUAGGGUGCGAGCGUUAAUCGGAAUUACUGGGCGUAAAGCGUGCGCAGGCGGUCCGCUAAGACCGAUGUGAAAUCCCCGGGCUUAACCUGGGAACUGCAUUGGUGACUGGCGGGCUAGAGUGUGGCAGAGGGGGGUAGAAUUCCACGUGUAGCAGUGAAAUGCGUAGAGAUCAGGAGGAACAUCCGUGGCGAAGGCGGCCAUCUGGACCAGCACUGACACUGAGGCACGAAAGCGUGGGGAGCAAAC
This 426-nucleotide ribosomal RNA is filed under the name uncultured bacterium. RNAcentral's name for it is "bacterial SSU rRNA". It matches the Rfam family "Bacterial small subunit ribosomal RNA", at positions 355 to 773 of the family's 1533-position model. The record is from RNAcentral.